AUAUUAGUCAACGACAGCAUCUUUCCCACUGACAGAGCUUUACGAUCCGAGGACCUUCAUCGCUCACACGGCGUUGCUGCGUCAGGCUUUCGCCCAUUGCGCAAUAUUCCCU
This 112-nucleotide ribosomal RNA is filed under the name uncultured bacterium. RNAcentral's name for it is "partial 16S ribosomal RNA". The record is from RNAcentral.